GACGUAGGGGGCCAGCGUUGCUCGGAAUUACUGGGCGUAAAGGGUUCGUAGGCGGUGCGGCAAGUCGGGAGUGAAAUCUCUGGGCUUAACUCAGGGGCUGCUUCCGAAACUGCCGUGCUUGAGUGCGGGAGAGGCGAGUGGAAUUGCAGGUGUAGCGGUGAAAUGCGUAGAUAUCUGCAGGAACACCCGUGGCGAAGGCGGCUCGCUGGACCAACUGACGCUGAGGAACGAAAAGCUAGGGGGAGCAAACAGG
RNAcentral lists this ribosomal RNA (253 nucleotides) under uncultured bacterium. RNAcentral describes it as "partial 16S ribosomal RNA". It matches the Rfam family "Bacterial small subunit ribosomal RNA", at positions 524 to 776 of the family's 1533-position model. The record is from RNAcentral.